AGAAUCCUGAUGAUGCUGCAA
Molecule: microRNA, 21 nt
Filed under: Populus trichocarpa (black cottonwood)
Lineage: Eukaryota; Viridiplantae; Streptophyta; Magnoliopsida; Malpighiales; Salicaceae
Also listed under: 1 other name
Description: ptc-miR172i
Gene: ptc-miR172i
Source: miRBase by way of RNAcentral